UUUGAUAUUCCAAACACACCCAAACACUCACACGGCGCCACCCUUUCUCUCUCGGCUUUCUUUGUUGCCACCGUUGCAUCCCUCAUCUCUCUUCUCUCACUCCCUCGGUCAACGCCGCUCCGCCGCCUACUCCUCUCACCAGCCUACUCGCAACGAGUAGCCGCCACCGCCCUUCUCUCUCUUCUCUCACUCCCUCGAUCAACGCCGCUCCGCCGCCGACUCCUCUGACCGGCAGAGCCUCCACCGCCGCGCCGCCUGUCUAGGAACGAAGACCACAACGGCUCCGCCACGCCAUCGCCGUCACUGACUAUCAUCUGCCAUGUUAGCAGAUCAGAGUUAAUGGCGGAUCUACCGCCAUUGCGCUGUCGCAGGCAUCCGAUAGCCACCGUGGCUCGUCCCUCACAUCUCUUUCUCUCGACUCACGCCAAAAUGGAACAGGGGACUCAACCGCAUUUUAGUCAGGAUCAAGUAAAAUUUGGUGCUUGCAGCGCUUGGACAGAGAGGUUCGAGGCGGCGAGGUCGUGGCCACGAGAGACAGGAGGAGGCAGGGGCAGUGGCGACGACGAUCGGCGAACAACACAGAGAGAACGCGACAAAUAGUGAAAGAAAAGACAUAAAUUGUAUUUUUUUUUUCUUUUUAAUCCAUGUAAAUAAGCCAUGUAGGCUUUCCGAUAGUCCACGCCAAUUUUCGGUCUCUGAAAAAUUUUAAUAG
This is a long non-coding RNA of Salvia miltiorrhiza (redroot sage), 712 nucleotides long. RefSeq lists it as uncharacterized. NCBI's taxonomy places the organism in Eukaryota, Viridiplantae, Streptophyta, Magnoliopsida, Lamiales, Lamiaceae. The record is from RefSeq and is a predicted model, not a curated record. The transcript has 3 exons.